AAGACUAAUAGACACGGAGGCGAACGGCACAGUCUCUGCUCCGGACCGCGCCAAGAAACAGUGGACGGUCAUCGGCCGGCUGGGCAGGGUCCCCCUAGCGGUGGGCAGCAGACAUGCAGAAGCCAACUUUAUAGUUACUGAAGAAAGAGGCACUGACUUGACGUUCGGACUUGAUAUCUUAAGAAAACUAAAGGCGACAGUUGACUUGGAACAGAACACUUUGGUCCUGGGGGGUGAGCCUGUUCCAUUCCUACAGGGGAGGGAGAUUCCACUCAAGCACCGCUGGGGGACGUCCUCUCCCAUAGGCAUGUAGGCUGCCACCCCCCAAAGCCAUCACAAUGGAACAGUCAUCAAAUUUCUUACAUGUGGAGUACAGCCUGGAGAACUGACUUGAGCCUUUUUCUUCCAACUGCUUGCUUUAAAAUUAUUGAUAUCAAGGAAAAGUAAAGUAAAAAGGAGUCUUAACUUAGGUUUGAAUCGCUGUCCAAGUCCAAUGUUUAUUGUUUCCAGAAUGGCUUUCUUGUGAUGUUGCAAUACAUUGUACUGCUUUUUUAUAUGUAUGUACAGGACUUAGAGACAGUUGUAAAAUUUAAGCUUUGUUCCAACACAACAGAAACACCAUGAAUUUUCAGUUGAUCUUGUUAAAGCUUCAUCAGAUGAGUGAUUCACUGCACUGACUUUCUGGAAUCUGGAAAGACUUAUAGAUGUUAAAUUGCACGUAAGACAAAAAAUGCAGUCACCUUCACUUUCUGUGGAAAUAGUGUUAUAGCUGAUGCUAUGUAAAGCUCUCCUUGUUAUUGCAGACUGAACUUGGACAUGUAGAGUCCCACAUAUAUCAAUCAGACUUGUAAGGAAUACUAAAGAUAUACUCAGAGUAAAUGUAUGUACAUGUAUAGUAUUUUCUAUACUUUGUUGGGUAUGGAUUUAGCUGGUAAGAUAAGAUGGGACUGACAGGUGAACUUAAAAAAAAAAAACCUGUCAAACUUAUGUACUUUGCCAAAA
Molecule: long non-coding RNA, 1002 nt
Organism: Branchiostoma belcheri (Belcher's lancelet)
Lineage: Eukaryota; Metazoa; Chordata; Leptocardii; Amphioxiformes; Branchiostomatidae
Exons: 3
Source: RefSeq, a predicted model, not a curated record